This 484-nucleotide ribosomal RNA is filed under the name uncultured Coriobacteriaceae bacterium. RNAcentral's name for it is "partial 16S ribosomal RNA". The record is from RNAcentral. Lineage: Bacteria; Bacillati; Actinomycetota; Coriobacteriia; Coriobacteriales; Coriobacteriaceae.
CACGUAGUUAGCCGGAGCUUCUUCUGCAGGUACCGUCGUUCUCUUCCCUGCUGAAAGCGGUUUACAACCCGAAGGCCUUCGUCCCGCACGCGGCGUUGCUGCGUCAGGCUUUCGCCCAUUGCGCAAAAUUCCCCACUGCUGCCUCCCGUAGGAGUCUGGGCUGUAUCUCAGUCCCAAUGUGGCCGGUCGACCUCUCAGUCCGGCUACCCAUCGCGGGCUAGGUGGGCCGUUACCCCGCCUACUACCCUAAUGGGCCGCGACCCCCAUCCCGCACCGUCGGGGCUUUCCCGCCCCCCUCAUGCGGAGGGGCGGAGUAUCCGGUAUUAGCUGCCGUUUCCAGCAGUUAUCCCGGGGUGCGGGGCAGGUUGGUCACGUGUUACUCACCCGUUCGCCACUCUAUACUCCGCCCGGAGGCGGUUUAAUCGUUCGACUUGCAUGUGUUAAGCACGCCGCCAGCGUUCAUCCUGAGCCAGGAUCAAACUCU